UUACAGGUUUUUCAGCCCACCAAUUGCCAACUAAUAAAAAAAGAUGAUAAUGACAUUUACAAUAUCUCCAAAUAUUAGAUAGCCAUAUUGUGAAAAAAAAACAUAUACCUUUUACUUUACGUAAAUGAAUAUCUGCAUUUUGUUGAUCUCUCAACAAAGGAUGAAAGAAAGUAUAUACUAAAUCACUUUGAGAAAUUUCUGGUGCCAUCUUGAAUAAACUUACAAGGAAUUUCUCAAUAUCCGCUCGUCGUUUAUCAGCAACUUGCUUUAUGUUAGAUCUUCCAACACUUAUACCACUUGAAAAGAACAUCAAAUUAAAAAUGGGUAUUAUUAAACGUUUCCGUGCUCAAAUAUUGAUACAAAAAGCUUCGUCUAGAAAAUCGAUUGCCCCUGAAUUUUAUCGAAGAAUAUCACAAACUGCAUCACAAUCGCAGAAAAACAUAAAUAACAAUAUAAAUAACAAGAAAACUAUUAGCACUGAUAUUAAACAAUCCAAGUCUUCAUCCUAACAAUAGAAAAAUAAGAUAAAGUAAAAAGUUAUUUGCAUUGGAUUCAAUAUGUCGAAUAAUCUAGACUAUUAGACAUAAAAUCUUCUGCAUGAUGUAGAUAAAUUAAAUUACUAUAUACGCUUAAUCUCUACAGAUAUGAAUCAUAUAUGAUAUUAUAUAAAUUAUUAUUAAUAUAUUAUUGCUGAUUAACAACUGUAAUAUGUACUUUAAUU
Molecule: unclassified non-coding RNA, 721 nt
Filed under: Bombus terrestris (buff-tailed bumblebee)
Lineage: Eukaryota; Metazoa; Arthropoda; Insecta; Hymenoptera; Apidae
Description: misc RNA ENSBTSG00005022888.1
Source: RNAcentral